AUUUUCACCUUUUAGCGCCAAGUCUCAAAACCCCGAGCUCUUCUUCACAUGCACUAGGGUUUUGCUUCGCUACUGCGAUUCCACUAGAAGAAAAUGGUAACGGGAUCAGCAUUGGCUGGGAAGGAAGUUCCCGUUGCCGGAAGCGACGCCGUUCGCUGGAUCGAUCUCCACGUUCCUUCUUCCUCCAACAUUGUCGCCGUCAAUGGCGACGCCGCUUCUACUACCACCUCCGACCGCGCCUCCUGCUUCGUCGUCGGAGAUCCUCCUACCUAUCUCAUCUGGAGAAUUCACAAGGCUCUACCUCACUCUCUCGAGUUGCUUGAACUCGCUGCUUCGAAGGAAUUCCCUCGCGUGGGACUCAGAUUCACUUUCCCCGACGCGCUUUGCCCCUUCGCGUUCAUAUGCAAAAACGAGAUUUCUGGUGCUUCUAGAUUCCCUUACUUGCUCUAUGUGUUGACUGUCUCUGGCGUCGCGUACCUCUUGAGAAUUCGAAAUAUUUCUGCAUAUGCGUCCAUUUCCAUUGUUCCUGUGGACGAGCUUCUGGAGGUUAAUGUGCGUGGUUAUAUUGCCAAUCACGCGGCAGCGAUAACUGCUGUGACAGCCACUGCCGGGGGUCUUGUUGUUGGCACGAGUGAUGGUUCUGUUUUCUGUUUCCAACUCGGUGUUCUAGACCCCAGUGCUCCUGGUUUUGUUCAUGAGCUGAGAGACGAAGCUGGAAUCACACGCUUGUGGGGUUUAAUACCACGGGGGAAAAUGGUAGGUACUGUACAGGAGUUGGUAAUUUUGGAGUUGCACGACAAAAAGUUUGUGUUUGUUCUUCAUUUGGAUGGGACUUUACGUAUUUGGGAUCUUGCAUCUCACAGCAGGGUCUUUAGCCAUAACAUGGGGACUAUGACAAUGACAGGUGCUAACUUUGUGAGGUUAUGGGUGGGUCAAUCUUACCCAGAUAUCGGCAUAAUUCCUUUGGCAAUUUUAUUUCGAGACACAUUGGAUGAAAAUUUGGAGACGAUCUCUUUGUGUAGUAUCCUGUAUAAUAUUGGGGAUAAAAUCGUGUUUUCUAUGGAGUCUUCAGUGCAAAACAUUCCCUUGGAGGAGGGAAGAUGCCUUGAUGUUAAAUUAACAUUGGAGAAGAUAUGGAUAUUGAAGGAUGAUGAAUUAGUAUCACACACGUUCUCUACAAAUACUGAUGAGGUAGAAGCAUUUUCUUAUGCUUUACAGGAGGAAUUUGUUGCUGAUCAACUAUUUCAAAGUUCAGAGCAUCUUGCAGAUGAAAUUUUACAGAUCACACAUUCAAUGUUUUCAUCUUCAAAGGAUGAUAUUUUACCUUUUGUAUCUUGUGUUUUCUUAAGAAGGUUGCUUCUUUCGGGGGUUCAUCAUAAUGCUACUUUGUAUGCAACUAUAGUUGAGUAUAGCAGGCAUUUGGGUGAAUCUGAGUUGCAUACAUUAACUGCUGAUGGGAUAAAGAAGGAGAUACUUUCCAUCAUAGAACAUGAGGUUGGAUCUGAAAAGGUCUCUUUGUUGCACUGCUGGAAAAUUUUUUUCAACUGCUAUUUCCAUAAUUGGUGCAAGAACAAUGCAUUGUAUGGUUUGCUUGUUGAUUCCUCUUCUGAUGCCAUUGGUUUAAUCAGAAGAAGUUCCAUUUCACUUUUUCGGUCUUUGGAAGAUAUUGAACGGAUCGUGGAGGGCUCUUCAGAUGAUGUUAGUGAGCUCACAGGCCUCAUGGAUAUCUUUGAUGAUGAUCUGGAGUGUGAAAUUCUAAUUGACUUGCUCAGAUGUGUCAUGAGUUUCAGCCAACAGUUGGGCAAAACUGCUUCUUCUAUAUUUUAUGAAUCUCUUUUUACUACACCGUUGAUCUCUUCUGAAGAUAUCAUUCGCUAUGUUGUAAAGAUUUUAGAAACUGGAUAUUGUAUGUCAGGUCCAGUGUUCCAAACAUCUACUUCUGGUAAUCAUGUAGUUGUUCUGGAAAAGGAGCUGACAGAUCAUAAAAGUUUGAGGAAACUUUCCGUGGAUAUGUUUUUGUCACUUCAAAGCUUGUACAAAAAGGCUUCCGCAUGGGGCAGGAUUUUAAAUGUAAUUGAGUGUUUCCUGAAAUUUUUGGUUCCGAAGAAAGUAAUACAAAAUUUUAAUACUGAAGUAUCAUCAAGCAUCAAUUCUUCCGUUAUAGUACAUACUACUUAUCAGAUUGCAAAAGUGAUGUUUGAAUCUGCCUGGGACUUUCUUCUAUUUCUAAGCUAUUUGGUGGACAUCAGUGGCCAGGUCCAUUUGACCCAUGAUGAUAUAAACAAAGUACAGCUUGAGUUAGUUCCGAUGCUUCAAGAAAUAAUUUUUGAAUGGCUGAUCAUCAUCUUCUUUACGAUCACACCAUCUUCACUGGCUGUAACCGAGGAUUUCAAUUCUAAACUUUCAUCACUACAAAUAGAUAACAACAUGGGGAAAAGAUUGCUGAAUGAGAACCUGGGCAGAUUUGACUUUACAUUGGCUUUUAUAUUCUUGCUCAAUGUUGAAAGUUCAUCCUUAAACCAUAGCCACUUUUCUUCAGAUCGCUUUUCAAAUGCACAGAGCUUAAUUAAUAGGGCAAGAGACUUCAUCAAUUGGAUCAUCUGGGGUCAGGCUGGAGAAUCUUCUACUUUCUUAACCCGUUCUAUUGAUCUUGCAAUUAUUCUUUUCAAACAUGGCCAGUUUGGUGCUGCUGAGCAAUUGCUUAUGAUUGCCGAAGCACAUUUACUAAAAGAGAAGACAUCCCAUAGUAUUCAAGAUGCUGAUGGUGGAUGGUGCAUACGUCAUCAUCUUCUAGGGUGUUGCCUACUUGCACAAGUGCAGUGUGGAUUACAUGCAGCCCAUAAGGAUAAAAAAGUUUCUGAUGCCAUUCGCUGUUUCUUUAGGUCUUCAUCUGGAAAUGGUGCAUCUGAGGCUCUGCAGAGUUUAUCAGAUGACUUAGGAAUUAUAUACCUUGGUUUUAGUGGUUGUACAUCAAUUGCUACAUGGAAGCUUCAAUAUUAUCAAUGGGCAAUGCAGUUAUUUGAACGUUAUAGCAUUAGUGAGGGUGCUUGCCAGUUUGCACUUGCUGCGCUUGAGCAAGUUGAUGAGGCUCUAUAUAUGAAAGAUGACAUCCGCACAAACAACUCAGUUAAUGAAUCAGUGACAACCAUCAAAGGACGACUAUGGGCAAAUGUUUUCAUAUUUGCUUUAGACCUUGGUCGAUAUUAUGAUGCAUAUUGUGCAAUAAUUUCAAAUCCAGAUGAGGAGAGUAAAUACAUUUGCCUGAGACGAUUCAUAAUUGUUCUAUAUGAACAAGGAGCUAUAAAGAUUCUUUGCAGCAAUAGACUUCCCCUUAUUGGUUUAGUGGAGAAAGUGGAGCAAGAGCUUGCUUGGAAGGCUGAUCGAUCAGAUAUUUCUGCUAAGCCAAACUUGUACAAGUUGCUUUAUUCAUUUCAAAUGCACCGGCAUAAUUGGCGACGUGCAGCGAACUAUAUAUACAUGUAUUCUGCUCGUUUGAGAACUGAAGCAGCGUUGAAAGAUAGUGUAGGCAAUUCCUUGAUGUUGCAAGAGAGGCUGAAUGCACUCUCUGCUGCAGUCAAUGCACUACAUCUUGUUCAUCCUGCAUAUGCCUGGAUUGAUUCCUUGGUUGAGGGAAGUUCUCUUGUGAAUGAACAUUAUCCAAGUAAGAAAGCUAAAAGAACCCCAGAUGAACAUUCAGCAGCUGAUAAUGAUGCAGAGCCUCAAGGCUGGCAGUCCUCAAUUGAUAUUGAAAAACUUGAGAAUGAAUUUGUGCUAACUUCAGCAGAGUAUAUGUUGUCACUGGUAAAUGUCAAGUGGACAUUUUCUGGAAAACAUGGAGCUCUCUCAGACUUGGCUGAUCUUCUUGUCCAAAACAAUUUAUAUGAUAUGGCCUUUACAGUCGUUCUAAGAUUUUUCAAGGGUUCUGCACUGAAGAGGGAGAUGGAAAGAGUGCUAUCUGCUAUCUCACUGAAAUGCUGUCUUGACAAGGUGGAAUCCGCCUGGGUCGAGGAACGCAGUCAUUUACUGGCAUCAUCAAAGAAUGAGAUGGUAGUCCACGGUUCACCUAUUACAGUUUCCACAACUCCACGAACUGAAAGAAGCAACCAGUGGGCAACACUCAAGCUUUACCUUGAAAGGUAUAAGGAAUUUCACGGUAGAUUACCGAUUAUUGUUGCAGAGACUCUUCUACGUGCAGAUCCUAAUAUUGAAUUGCCUCUUUGGCUUGUGCAAUUGUUCAAGGAGGGUCAAAAGGAAAGGUUGUGGGGGAUGACUGGCAGGGAAUCAAAUCCUGCAUCUUUGUUUCAGCUUUAUGUUACCUAUGAUCGUUAUGCAGAUGCUACUUACCUUUUGCUUGAGUGCAUAGACUCAUUUGCCUCAAUGAGACCAGCAGAUAUAAUUAGAAGGAAAAGACCGUUUGCUGUUUGGUUCCCGUACACAACUAUUGAGCGGCUUUUGUACAGGCUAGACGAAUUAAUUAGAAUGGGUCACAUGGUUGAUCAUUGUGAGAAGCUCAAAAAGAUGUUACAUGGUUCUUUACAUAGUCAUCUCAAGAUGUUGAAGGUGGACUCAAAUGAUGCUGUUUCUGUAACUUCUUGAUUGCUACUUACACUGACCACUGGGAAGUUGUAGAUAAUGGUGGGAUCACAGCUCUUGAUUCUUUGCUCUGUUCAAUGCAUAAUAUCCAGUGAAAAGGCCGCAGCAAGUUGGCAUGGAGUGUAAAACUUUGGGGAUGAAAAAGCCAUGGGUGUGAAGGGUAUUUCCCUUUCUUUUACAACGAGAACAGGGCAAAAUAACUGAAUGAUAGUCAACGCCUAUCUGUCAAGAAUUGGAGAUGUAGUCCUUGAACAACCAUAUAAAAUUUGUAUAUGAUUUAUCUUCUGGAAAUUUUGGGCAAAGGUUGAUUGACUUUGUUUGAUAGAGUGCUAUGGCUAGAUAUGCAUAGUAGCUGUUCAACUGCUUGUAGGGAAAUUCCGCAUAGAAUGAUUAGUGGAGGAAUGUUACUCAUCUUUUCUUCCACUGAAGGUUGACGAAAAGUGUUGUAGUCCAAUUCCAGUUAGAGAACAUGGUCUGAUUUUGUAAUCUAGUUUAACAAUUAAUUAAUGAGCAACUUAACUAGGGAUAUCAAACCCUACUUGCCUACUAAAUGGCCAAGAAGAUCCCUUUGGUUUUUUUGUAAUACUGACUGUAAUAACUCAGGAUAGCGAUUUCUACUAUAAAAUUUGCAGCCCUACUGAAGCUAUUUA
This is an RNA transcript of Vigna unguiculata (cowpea), 5243 nucleotides long. It is a transcript of the gene named SUPPRESSOR OF AUXIN RESISTANCE1, with no coding region annotated. Lineage: Eukaryota; Viridiplantae; Streptophyta; Magnoliopsida; Fabales; Fabaceae. The record is from RefSeq and is a predicted model, not a curated record.